CUUCGCUGCACCCCAGCUAACGCGUUAAACAUCCCGCCUGGGGAGUACGGGCGCAAGCCUGAAACUCAAAGGAAUUGGCGGGGGCCCGCACAACCGGUGGAGCGUCUGGUUUAAUUCGAUGCUAACCGAAAAACCUUACCAGGGUUUGAAAUGGUAGGAAAGGCUGUCGAAAGAUAGCCGUGUUUCCCUUUUGGGAGAAAUCCUACCACAGGUGGUGCAUGGCCGUCGUCAGCUCGUGUUGUGAGAUGUUGGGUUAAGUCCCGCAACGAGCGCAACCCUUGUCCUUAUUUGCUUCCUCGUAUGAGGUGCUCUAUAAGGAGACUGCCGGCGACAAGCCGGAGGAAGGAGGGGACGACGUCAGGUCAGUAUGCCCUUUAUGCCCUGGGCUACACAGGCGCUACAGUGGCAAGGACAAUGAGUAGCAAGAGUGCAAGCUCAAGCUAAUCUCACAAACCUUGUCGUGGUGCGAAUUGAAGGUUGAAACUCACCUUCAUGAAGCCGGAAUCGGUAGUAAUGG
Molecule: ribosomal RNA, 517 nt
Filed under: uncultured Hydrogenobaculum sp.
Lineage: Bacteria; Pseudomonadati; Aquificota; Aquificia; Aquificales; Aquificaceae
Description: bacterial SSU rRNA
Rfam family: Bacterial small subunit ribosomal RNA
Source: RNAcentral